RNAcentral lists this non-coding RNA (95 nucleotides) under uncultured Bombella sp. RNAcentral describes it as "TPP riboswitch (THI element)". It matches the Rfam family "TPP riboswitch aptamer (THI element)", at positions 6 to 98 of the family's 105-position model. From Rfam's summary of the family: Vitamin B(1) in its active form thiamin pyrophosphate (TPP) is an essential coenzyme that is synthesised by coupling of pyrimidine and thiazole moieties in bacteria. Lineage: Bacteria; Pseudomonadati; Pseudomonadota; Alphaproteobacteria; Acetobacterales; Acetobacteraceae. The record is from RNAcentral.
UUCCGGGGGGUGUCCUGUUUUAUGCAGGGCUGAGACGGCGAAGCCGAACCCUUUGAACCUGAUCCGGGUCAUGCCGGCGAAGGAACGGGAAAAUA